RNAcentral lists this ribosomal RNA (267 nucleotides) under Escherichia coli. RNAcentral describes it as "partial 23S ribosomal RNA". It matches the Rfam family "Bacterial large subunit ribosomal RNA", at positions 2682 to 2925 of the family's 2925-position model. The record is from RNAcentral. Lineage: Bacteria; Pseudomonadati; Pseudomonadota; Gammaproteobacteria; Enterobacterales; Enterobacteriaceae.
UACGAGAGGACCGGAGUGGACGCAUCACUGGUGUUCGGGUUGUCAUGCCAAUGGCACUGCCCGGUAGCUAAAUGCGGAAGAGAUAAGUGCUGAAAGCAUCUAAGCACGAAACUUGCCCCGAGAUGAGUUCUCCCUGACUCCUUGAGAGUCCUGAAGGAACGUUGAAGACGACGACGUUGAUAGGCCGGGUGUGUAAGCGCAGCGAUGCGUUGAGCUAACCGGUACUAAUGAACCGUGAGGCUUAACCUUACAACGCCGAAGGUGUUU